AUAUAUCAAAGAGGUUGCAAUCAACAUGAGUCGCAUAAUUGAGUCUGCCAAGACGUUGAUGUUAUGUUAAAGGGGCGAUUGCCGAAAAUGUCAUCUGGCAAUAUGAUGUUUGGGCUGGUAAUUAACAGUUACUAGACUGUCGUAGUAAUACGGUGCGCUUUGAAAAGU
Leuconostoc pseudomesenteroides PS12 is the source of this 168-nucleotide non-coding RNA. The record is from Rfam. NCBI's taxonomy places the organism in Bacteria, Bacillati, Bacillota, Bacilli, Lactobacillales, Lactobacillaceae.